GGCCGGUGGAGGAGCUGCACUGCCCGGCCGGGAGCACCGGGAGCGGCGGGGACACCGCGGGCAGCGGGAACUCCGCGGGCAGCGGGAACUCCGCGGGCAGCGGGAACUCCGCGGGCAGCGGGAACUCCGCGGGCAGCGGGAGCGGCGGUGCCGGACCGCAGGAACCCGGAAGCAGCGGCGCUUCAGCCGCGGCAGUGCGCAGGCGCGGGGACAGAAGCGACCAAUCGCAGCUGGCGGCGCGGCGAUGACGUCACAGGGACUGUGAGGGGGCCGGGCUCCGAGAAAAGGCGCCGGAGGAACCGGGAGCGGCUCUGGGUCCGGGAGCGGUUCUGGAGCACGGGAGAGAUUCUGGGGGCCGUGCCCGUGCUGUGAAGAGCUGGCGCUGUGCUGCUGCCGGGUGAGAUUUCCAGGCUGGAUCUGCUUGAGGGACCUGGAGGAGGCGGCUGUGGCCCUGUUCGUGUCCUGGAGCUGGAGGAGAAGGAUGGAAACCCGGUCAUGAAUCCUCCCCAAAGGAAGAGUUGGAGGUGGUCAAGAGAAGGAGCUGCUCCAGGCUGUGAUUUAUCCAUUAUGAGCUUCCCCAAAACGUAUUCUGCUGCUGGCUGGCUGCUGCUGCCACACUCCACACAUCCAGCAUGGAAAGGGGGAAUCUCCAGCCCUGGCCCUGGGUUGGGGUGAAUGUUGCGCUGAUUUGCAGCCGGAUGCACACUGAGGGUUGAGGCAGCACUCUGGUUGGCAUCCAGAUCUCCACAAGCUCAUUAGCAGCUCAUUAGCAAGCUGUACUUGCCCAGUGUAAUCCUGACAGCUUUUUGGGAGCAUUCUGCAGCCUUCAAAGCAGGAGAUAAGACAGGAAUGUUGCAGGAAGGGAGGAUGUUGUGGCUGGGGACACAGCACAGGCAUGCCUGGCUUUCCAAGCUGGGAAGAGAAGGAAAUCUCCAUGUGCUGCUGGAGGCUCUCUCUGGCAAGGCACAUGCCUCUGAUCAUCCCUGAGCCCCUCCUUGAUUAUUUGGAGUUGCUGCCCGAGCUGCCUGCACAGCUCUGUGACAUCCCUGUGUUCUCAGGGAGUGCCACCCUGGGCACUGGGAUGAGCUCUAAGGUGUUUCCAACCCAAACCAGUCUGGGAUUUGGUAAUGAAUGACUUUGUGCUAAUUACCCAGAGCAGCACUGGCACAAAGACUUCAUGCCCUUGGCACGCCUCACCUCCUGCAGAGGAUUUUACUGAUUUUUGGGGUGUUGGAAGGACUGAGUGCUACACACAAGGCAAUGCUGCAUAAAUGUUAUUUUAAAGUAACAUUUAUUGAUCCCCUGCAGUCAGAGUGGGAUCAAGGACAUGAAGGCCUGGCUGGUGACUUCUCCUGUUUUAGAAUUGCCCAGAGCUCUAAAGGUGCCUCACUUCCCUGGGCACAGAUAGGUGGGAGCACUGACAGCCCUUUGUGCUUCUGUGAAACACCUUCCUGCUCAUUUUGUGGCUCUCUGUUCCAUAAAAGAGAUGGAAAUGUUCAGUGUGUGAAGAAAACCCUUCAGUGAAGGCAGGGAGAGCCUUGGAACAAAGUCUUGGCCUUUGCUGAGCCUGAGUACAGCUUUGCUCAGAGCAGGGAACCCCAGGCUGCUUUUUUGUACCCAUUUUACAUAAAAUGUUUCAGUCUCUUGAGUUUUGGUCACUCAGUUUGGGGUUUUUCUCCUUGACACUAAGGAUUCUCUGGGGUCACUGGUUUGUUUCAGAGCAGUACUGGAGCCAAUUAAACAAUACUUGGUGGUGAA
Molecule: long non-coding RNA, 1758 nt
Organism: Lonchura striata (white-rumped munia)
Lineage: Eukaryota; Metazoa; Chordata; Aves; Passeriformes; Estrildidae
Source: RefSeq, a predicted model, not a curated record